Plectropomus leopardus (leopard coralgrouper) is the source of this 313-nucleotide non-coding RNA. The record is from RefSeq and is a predicted model, not a curated record. Lineage: Eukaryota; Metazoa; Chordata; Actinopteri; Perciformes; Serranidae.
AUGUUGUUUGAUCAGACUCAGAGAGCCAUCAGCCAGCAGCUCACCAACCUCUGCACACAGUUCCUGCCUCAGCUGCUGGAGACCAGGAGGGAGUUUGUGCGGAUCGGGGAGGACCUGGAGACGGCGGCGGCGAAGAACGCUCAGGUGUCUCGGCACAAAGCCGGAGACGCUGAGCGGGCGAGUCACCUGCUGCUCGCCACACGUAAAUGUUACCAACACUUCGCUCUGGACUACUGUCUGCAGCUCAACACGUUUAAGACGCAGCAGAGAGUCGACAUCUUAAACUCAGUGAGUUUAUAAAGUUUACAGUCUG